GGGUCAGUAGGUUGGUCGUGCCACCGGUACGUACUGGUCUCACUGAUUCCUCCUUCCCGAAGAACCGUAAUGCCAUUAAUUUGGUGUUGCGGGGAAACAGGACUGUUACUUUGAAAAAAUUAGAGUGUUUAAAGCAAGCUAACGCUUGAAUACAUUAGCAUGGAAUAAUGAAAUAGGACGAUCGAUCCUAUUUUGUUGGUUCCUAGGAUUGACGCA
Molecule: ribosomal RNA, 216 nt
Filed under: Glomeromycotina sp.
Lineage: Eukaryota; Fungi; Glomeromycota
Description: partial small subunit ribosomal RNA
Rfam family: Eukaryotic small subunit ribosomal RNA (bases 75-216)
Source: RNAcentral